AGUGAACGCUGGCGGUAGGCCUAACACAUGCGAGUCGAACGGCCGCACAGUAAGAGCUUGCUCUUACGGGUGGCGAGUGGCGGACGGGUGAGGCAUACAUCGGAAUCUACUUUUUCGUGGGGGAUAACGUAGGGAAACUUACGCUAAUACCGCAUACGACCUACGGGUGAAAGCAGGGGAUCUUCGGACCUUGCGCGAUUGAAUGAGCCGAUGUCGGAUUAGCUAGUUGGCGGGGUAAAGGCCCACCAAGGCGACGAUCCGUAGCUGGUCUGAGAGGAUGAUCAGCCACACUGGAACUGAGACACGGUCCAGACUCCUACGGGAGGCAGCAGUGGGGAAUAUUGGACAAUGGGCGCAAGCCUGAUCCAGCCAUACCGCGUGGGUGAAGAAGGCCUUCGGGUUGUAAAGCCCUUUUGUUAGGAAAGAAAAGCAGCAGGUUAAUACCCCGCUGUUCUGACGGUACCCAAAGAAUAAGCACCGGCUAACUUCGUG
RNAcentral lists this ribosomal RNA (492 nucleotides) under uncultured bacterium. Its description in RNAcentral is "partial 16S ribosomal RNA". It matches the Rfam family "Bacterial small subunit ribosomal RNA", at positions 29 to 507 of the family's 1533-position model. The record is from RNAcentral.